Small nucleolar RNA from Octodon degus (degu), 93 nucleotides. NCBI's taxonomy places the organism in Eukaryota, Metazoa, Chordata, Mammalia, Rodentia, Octodontidae. The record is from Ensembl.
AAGAGAAGUCAAUGAUGGUUUUAACCUAAAAUGUCUGAACCCGUUUGAAGCAUUGUAAUGCAGUCUUUUUGCCAUUCUGAGACUUGGGAGAUA